Non-coding RNA from Nicotiana tabacum (common tobacco), 1252 nucleotides. The record is from RefSeq and is a predicted model, not a curated record. Lineage: Eukaryota; Viridiplantae; Streptophyta; Magnoliopsida; Solanales; Solanaceae.
ACUUACGCGCACCUCGUCUAUUUCACCAGGCACAUGCUAUCAGCGCAAGGACUACUCACAUGUAUAUUUCAGCAUUCUCUCUGUAGUCGCAAUCUUCUUCUACUUGAGUCUAUAAUACUUCUUUUAGGAAUUCUGUUUUUUUCUUUAAUUUAUUUUUUGCUUCUGUUUCUUCUUCAAUCAAUGACCCUCUUCUCUUCUUCUAUUAUGUGAGUUCUCUUACUCUUACUUCUUCUCUUUUACUUCUCUUCCACUCACUCUGCGGAGUUGCUUAAAAGACUAAAUAUGAAGCUAAAUACUGCAGAAUCAUUUUUAGGGUUGAUUUAAGUGAAAUUGAAUAAUGAUUUGAUGUCCCCAAAAAAAUGAUUUGUGAUUGUAAUUAUGUUUUUGGGGUCUUAUUGAAAUUACAUAUUAAGAUGUUUAAUUUGAAUUUUGUUAGAUUAGUACGAAAUUUGUAACUUUAAUUGCAAGUUAAAUAAGUUCAUAUAUGUUAGAUCCUUUUUUUGUUCGGUAAUUGUAUACUUUAUUUUUGAAGAUACUAGGCUAAGGGACGGACUUCAUCUCUUCUAUUUUCUUCGCUUACACCUUACACUUCAGCUGAGUCUAACGAGGCUCGUACGUUUCGGUUCUUGUUUUUUUAAAGCCGAAGGUCCCUGUUAAACGCUUCUCGGUCUUUUCAAGUGUAUGUUGGCCAGAUUUUGUUUCGUACAGACAAUUUUAAGUACUAAUUUAUUCUGGCAAGCAAAACUUUUCUGCUACUCUAUAAAUUUGAGAACUGAGUAAGCUUUUCUACAACAGCAACUGCAGUUAUUCUAUUCUGUACCAACGUUCAAAUGGCUCUCAUCUCAGCUAUUGCUGUCAGUUAUGCAGUGAUGAUUCUGCAUGCCUCAUUUAGGAAGCUUACCCCGUCGAGACAAUCAACUUCCAAAGAUGGAAACAGGAGGAUUCUUAGAAGUUGAUAAGUGGUUAUUAUUGUCAAAUCAUAAAAUCACAGUCGUAGCUCGGAGGGAGUUCAGGGCAAACAUGUGGAUAAACUGUCUUGGUUCAUGAGUACACCUCUCCGUUUGAAACUGAGAGAAUACUAGUUACAUUGUAAGAAAAUGUUUCUUUGUAUUCAAAUUUAGGUUGUAUAAGGUUAUACAAGAUGGGAAAAAAAAAAAGAAACUAGAUAAGAUUGUAAAUGGCUGUAGAACCAUAAAGAUAAUUAGCAUGAACCGCAUCCAGUAUAAAUUCUGGAUUCUGAUUUUUCAUUUCA